GUUUAUCAAAAACAUGUCCUAUAGUUAUUAAUUUUAGGUCUAGCCUGCUCAAUGAUUUAUUAAAUAGCCGCAGUAUAUUAACUGUGCAAAGGUAGCAUAAUCAUUUGUCUCUUAAUUGGGGACUUGUAUGAAUGGUUGAACGUGGAAUAAACUUUCUUUGCUUAAUUUAAUUGAAUUUGAUUUUUUAGUUAAAAAGCUAAAAUAUUAUUGUUAGACGAGAAGACCCUAUAGAAUUUUAUUACAAAUUAUUAUUUUAUUAUUGUUUUGUAAUAAAAUAAAAGCUUGUAAUUUUGUUGGGGUGACUUUGAAAUUUUUUUAACUUUCAAUUUAAAUUUUUCAUUAAUUUAUGUUAAAUUGAUCCUUUAAUAUGGAUAACAAGUUUAAAUUACCUUAGGGAUAACAGCGUAAUUUUUUUGGAGAGUUCCUAUCGAUAAAAAAGUUUGCGACCUCGAUGUUGGAUUAAAUUAAAGAUUUGGUGUAGCAGCUAAAUUCUUAGGUCUGUUCGACCUUUAAAGAUUUACNUGAUCUGAGUUCAACCGGA
Molecule: ribosomal RNA, 541 nt
Filed under: Oxycarenus sp. WCW-2003
Lineage: Eukaryota; Metazoa; Arthropoda; Insecta; Hemiptera; Oxycarenidae
Description: partial 16S ribosomal RNA
Rfam family: Bacterial large subunit ribosomal RNA
Source: RNAcentral